AUUGAACGCUGGCGGCAGGCCUAACACAUGCAAGUCGAGCGGUAGAGAGAAGCUUGCUUCUCUUGAGAGCGGCGGCCGGGUGAGUAAUGCCUAGGAAUCUGCAUGGUAGUGGGGGAUAACGUUCGAAAACGGAAGCUAAUACCGCAUACGUCCUACGAGAGACAGCGGGGGACCUUCGGGCCUUGCGCUAUCAGGUGAGCCUAGGUCGGAAUCGCUAGUUGGUGGGGUAAUGGCUCAGCAAGGCUACGAUCCGUAACUGGUAUCAGAGGAUGACCAGUCACACGGGAACUGAGACACGGUCCAGACUCCUACGGUAGGCCGCAGUGGGGAAUCUUGCACGAGGGGCGAGUGCCUGAUCUUGCCAUGCCGCGUGUGGGAUGAUGGUCUUCUGAUGGGUAAGCACUUUAAGUUGUGGGGUAGUACAGUAAAUUAAUACUGGGCGGUAUUGACGUUACCGACAGAAUAAGCACCGGCUAACUCCGUG
This 484-nucleotide ribosomal RNA is filed under the name uncultured bacterium. RNAcentral describes it as "partial 16S ribosomal RNA". It matches the Rfam family "Bacterial small subunit ribosomal RNA", at positions 30 to 507 of the family's 1533-position model. The record is from RNAcentral.